GGUGCUUUGCUCUUUUGCUCUGGCGCUUUCUGGUUGGCGCUUCAAGUCGAAGGUCGAAGGUGAAUGUCUCCAAAAACAAAAUGGUAAACGAAAACAAAGAUGAUCACGAAAUCCAGUCACAAUUCGACGGUAGCGAAGAAAGAAUCAGUGCAUUCAAGUUGACAAAAUUUCCACAGACAAGAGUGCGCAAUAUGAUGAAAUUGGAUCCCGAUUUACAUUUAGCAAGUCAAGAAUCUGUACAUGUGAUUAGUAAGGCAGCGGAAUUGUUUGUGGAAUAUCUUGCUAAAGAGGCUUAUGAAAGAACUGCUCAAGGAAAGAGAAAACUAUUCAGAAGAAAGACCUAGAUUCAUGUGUAAAUGAAAAUGAUGAGCUUGCAUUUUUACAAGGGGUGUUGGAGUAAUACAACAGAAUUUGAAGAUAAAGAUCUUCAAAUCCACUCAUUCCUAAUAUUUACGCACUGAAAAAUAUAAGAAGAAUGAUCUGAUUAA
Long non-coding RNA from Xenia sp. Carnegie-2017, 488 nucleotides. RefSeq lists it as uncharacterized. NCBI's taxonomy places the organism in Eukaryota, Metazoa, Cnidaria, Anthozoa, Malacalcyonacea, Xeniidae. The transcript is spliced from 4 exons. The record is from RefSeq and is a predicted model, not a curated record.